GGAGGGGUGGCCGAGUGGACGAAGGCGCCUGACUCGAAAUCAGGUGACGGUUCUGCCGUCCGGGGGUUCGAAUCCCUCCCCCUCCG
Molecule: transfer RNA, 86 nt
Filed under: Thiohalorhabdus denitrificans
Lineage: Bacteria; Pseudomonadati; Pseudomonadota; Gammaproteobacteria; Thiohalorhabdales; Thiohalorhabdaceae
Rfam family: tRNA
About the family: Transfer RNA (tRNA) molecules are approximately 80 nucleotides in length. Their secondary structure includes four short double-helical elements and three loops (D, anti-codon, and T loops). Further hydrogen bonds mediate the characteristic L-shaped molecular structure. tRNAs have two regions of fundamental functional importance: the anti-codon, which is responsible for specific mRNA codon recognition, and the 3' end, to which the tRNAs corresponding amino acid is attached (by aminoacyl-tRNA synthetases). tRNAs cope with the degeneracy of the genetic code in two manners: having more than one tRNA (with a specific anti-codon) for a particular amino acid; and 'wobble' base-pairing, i.e. permitting non-standard base-pairing at the 3rd anti-codon position.
Source: Rfam by way of RNAcentral